RNAcentral lists this ribosomal RNA (492 nucleotides) under uncultured bacterium. RNAcentral's name for it is "partial 16S ribosomal RNA". It matches the Rfam family "Bacterial small subunit ribosomal RNA", at positions 29 to 507 of the family's 1533-position model. The record is from RNAcentral.
AGUGAACGCUGGCGGUAGGCCUAACACAUGCAAGUCGAACGGCAGCACAGUAAGAGCUUGCUCUUACGGGUGGCGAGUGGCGGACGGGUGAGGAAUACAUCGGAAUCUACUUUUUCGUGGGGGAUAACGUAGGGAAACUUACGCUAAUACCGCAUACGACCUACGGGUGAAAGCAGGGGAUCUUCGCACCUUGCGCGAUUGAAUGAGCCGAUGUCGGAUUAGCUAGUUGGCGGGGUAAAGGCCCACCAAGGCGACGAUCCGUAGCUGGUCUGAGAGGAUGAUCAGCCACACUGGAACUGAGACACGGUCCAGACUCCUACGGGAGGCAGCAGUGGGGAAUAUUGGACAAUGGGCGCAAUCCUGAUCCAGCCAUACCGCGUGGGUGAAGAAGGCCUUCGGGUUGUAAAGCCCUUUUGUUGGGAAAGAAAAGCAGCAGGUUAAUACCCCGCUGUUCUGACGGUACCCAAAGAAUAAGCACCGGCUAACUUCGUG